This 593-nucleotide ribosomal RNA is filed under the name Callulina shengena. Its description in RNAcentral is "partial 16S ribosomal RNA". It matches the Rfam family "Bacterial large subunit ribosomal RNA", at positions 1796 to 2620 of the family's 2925-position model. The record is from RNAcentral. Lineage: Eukaryota; Metazoa; Chordata; Amphibia; Anura; Brevicipitidae.
UCGCCUGUUUAUCAAAAACAUCGCCUCUUGCAUCUAUAAGAGGUCCAGCCUGCCCAAUGAAUCAUUAAAUGGCCGCGGUACCCUAACCGUGCGAAGGUAGCAUAAUCACUUGUUCAUUAAAUGUGGACUAGUAUGAACGGCUUCACGAGGGCCACACUGUCUCCCUACUUUAAUCAAUUAAACUAAUCUCCCCGUGAAGAAGCGGGGAUUACUAUAUAAGACGAGAAGACCCCAUGGAGCUUAAAACCCAGAACCAACUACUAACAUUUUUUCAUAAAAAUACUGUAUAUCUGGCUUCUGGUUUUUGGUUGGGGCGACCACGGAGCAAAAUAUAUCCUCCACGAUGAAUAACAAACAUUUUACUAAAGAGUUACAUCUCUAAAGAUCCUAAAUAUGACAUUUCUUGACCCAAGCCUGCUUGAUCAACGAACCUAGUUACCCUGGGGAUAACAGCGCAAUCCAUUUCAAGAGCCCCUAUCGACAAAUGGGUUUACGACCUCGAUGUUGGAUCAGGGCAUCCCAGUGGUGCAACCGCUACUAAAGGUUUGUUUGUUCAACAAUUAAAGCCCUACGUGAUCUGAGUUCAGACCGGA